CAGCCAAAUGGUGACUGCUUUCUAAAAGUAAAGGCUGUUGAUCUUUGAAAUUGACUGGAGCGAGCAUCUUUGGAUACUCUCUCCACAGAACUCCUGAGUACAGAAUUCUCAGUCCUUGUCCCACCAGGUUUGACAAUAUGAAAUCUAAUCACCAAUUCGUGAGUGACAGUUCCUUUUCCAUAGAUACCAGAUAAAUGCAUAUGGAAUAUUACAAUAUCCGAGCAAUUGCUCGUCAGGUCCUGGUUGGGCAACAGGAAAAUUUUUUCAUGUAUAUUUCACUUUUUAAAAAGCGACAAAGCUGCAACAUGUAAUUCUGAUACAAGAUCAUCAACGUGAAAAGUUAACUUCUUCAUCUUGAUACAGAGGAGCAAGUGCUGGAUGUCUUGAAAUGCAUAAAGGAUGGAUAAAUUCCCAGGACCUGAUCAGGUGUACCCGAGAACUCUGUGGGAAGCUGGAGAAGUGAUUGCUGGGCCCCUUGCUGAGAUAUUUGGAUCAUCGAUAGUCACAGUCUCUCUGGAAGUCUAUUUGGCCACUCUUUGUGCAGGAAAAGAAACAGAUGUUCAUUCUAAACUUACCUUUCACUAAUUUGAACCAGUGACCUUCUUCUGCUGCCACAACAUGUUGAAGAAUGCUGGCAGGCACCAUUAAAAGAAAGAACAAACAAUGAAAACAGAGCUGGAAUUUGAAUCAUUCAUGGGGUUUUAAUAUUUUGAAGAUUGCUCCAGACCCCAAAAUGAAACCAAGCUACUAAGUUCCUGCACAUCCUAUGAGACUAUAAAGACUACAUUGGAAGAAAAUUGGCCACCCUUCGUGUGCUGCAACAAUUAACUUGUUAAUUGCUGAUUGUACUUAUUUUAGUGAUUGCCUUCUGCAGGACCCAUGAGGGAUUCAGGAUGAAAUGUUUCGGUAACCAAUAGCAUGGGGAGUUUGGUGGAAUUUGUCUGUUUCUGACCCUGAAAUGUUUGUCAUGGCUGCAUUCUAUUGCUCUCCAAAACUGUCUGGUAUUUAUUUUACAUGAUCUCACCUUCAGAUAUUUUUGGUGGUUUUAGUGUUAAAAAAAUGC
Hemiscyllium ocellatum (epaulette shark) is the source of this 1063-nucleotide long non-coding RNA. RefSeq lists it as uncharacterized. The record is from RefSeq and is a predicted model, not a curated record. The transcript is spliced from 3 exons. NCBI's taxonomy places the organism in Eukaryota, Metazoa, Chordata, Chondrichthyes, Orectolobiformes, Hemiscylliidae.